AGGUUCCAAAAUUAUUGUUAAGUGAAAAUAAGGUAGUGUUUAUCCAAGCCAACCAGGAAAUGGGCUUAGGAGCGGCCAUUUUUUAAAGACCUCGUAACAGAGCACUGGUUUUAUACAAUUUUGUAUGUAUUGUUAGAUGCACCUAAAAUUUAACGGAUCUAAAUAAUAUACCGAGACCUUGUCCAUAAAUAUUUUUAUGUACAAGUUACAUAGAAUAUAUAUGGGGUAGCGGAACAUUGGGCAUAUCUCAGAUUUUUUCUUUUUAAGACUUAAGAUUAGAUUACCCAAGUGAUAAUGCUGACAUGAGUAACGAUAAAGGGUUUAUACCCUCGCCUAAAGCUUAUGGAAUUUACUUAAAGUAACGGCCUCUAAGUUUAAAUUUGCUAUAGUUUAAACAAACAACACUUGAUACCUAACUCUAACAGACGAUACAAGUGCAAAAUAGUAAACACCUAAUGGUAUAAACGAUGAGAAAAAGCUAAGUUUUACAGAUAUAAAUAGCAUGAGUGUUGCAGGUAGGUAUUAUAUAUAUAAUGGAUUUUUUUUUUUUAUUCUUUUUACUUAUU
Molecule: ribosomal RNA, 566 nt
Filed under: Rhizocarpon geographicum
Lineage: Eukaryota; Fungi; Ascomycota; Lecanoromycetes; Rhizocarpales; Rhizocarpaceae
Description: partial large subunit ribosomal RNA
Rfam family: Bacterial large subunit ribosomal RNA (bases 1-302)
Source: RNAcentral